UACGGGGGGGGCAAGCGUUGUUCGGAAUUACUGGGCGUAAAGGGCGCGUAGGCGGCUCGCUAAGUCGGGUGUGAAAACUCUGGGCUUAACCCAGAGCCUGCAUUCGAAACUGACGAGCUGGAGUUCUGGAGGGGAAAGCGGAAUUCCUGGUGUAGCGGUGAAAUGCGUAGAUAUCAGGAGGAACACCGGUGGCGAAGGCGGCUUUCUGGACAGAAACUGACGCUGAUGCGCGAAAGCUAGGGGAGCAAACAGG
RNAcentral lists this ribosomal RNA (253 nucleotides) under uncultured bacterium. RNAcentral's name for it is "partial 16S ribosomal RNA". It matches the Rfam family "Bacterial small subunit ribosomal RNA", at positions 524 to 776 of the family's 1533-position model. The record is from RNAcentral.